AGCGAACGCUGGCGGCAGGCCUAAAACAUGCAAGUCGAACGCCGUAGCAAUACGGAGUGGCAGACGGGUGAGUAACACGUGGGAACAUACCCUUUGGUUCGGAACAACACAGGGAAACUUGUGCUAAUACCGGAUAAGCCCUUACGGGGAAAGAUUUAUCGCCGAAGGAUUGGCCCGCGUCUGAUUAGCUAGUUGGUGGGGUAACGGCCCGACCAAGGCUACGAUCAGUAGCUGGUCUGAGAGGAUGAUCAGCCACACUGGGGACUGAGACACGGCCCAGACUCCUACGGGAGGCAGCAGUUAGGAAUCUUGGACAAUGGGCGCAAGCCUGAUCCAGCCAUGCCGCGUGAGUGAUGAAGGCCUUAGGGUU
This 370-nucleotide ribosomal RNA is filed under the name uncultured bacterium. RNAcentral's name for it is "bacterial SSU rRNA". It matches the Rfam family "Bacterial small subunit ribosomal RNA", at positions 29 to 424 of the family's 1533-position model. The record is from RNAcentral.